GCGAAAUAGUCGGGGGGCCACGCUGAACGCGUUGGCUGAGAUCGAAAUUCGAGACCCGUUGAACCUGAUUCAGUUAGCACUGACGUAGGGAACUAUCAGCAUUUGCCU
RNAcentral lists this non-coding RNA (108 nucleotides) under Vibrio furnissii. RNAcentral's name for it is "TPP sequence". It matches the Rfam family "TPP riboswitch aptamer (THI element)". From Rfam's summary of the family: Vitamin B(1) in its active form thiamin pyrophosphate (TPP) is an essential coenzyme that is synthesised by coupling of pyrimidine and thiazole moieties in bacteria. The previously detected thiamin-regulatory element, thi box was extended, resulting in a new, highly conserved RNA secondary structure, the THI element, which is widely distributed in eubacteria and also occurs in some archaea. The record is from Rfam by way of RNAcentral. Lineage: Bacteria; Pseudomonadati; Pseudomonadota; Gammaproteobacteria; Vibrionales; Vibrionaceae.